AGCGAACGCUGGCGGCAGGCCUAACACAUGCAAGUCGAACGAACUCUUCGGAGUUAGUGGCGGACGGGCGAGUAACACGUGGGAACGUGCCUUUAGGUUCGGAAUAACUCAGGGAAACUUGUGCUAAUACCGAAUGUGCCCUUCGGGGGAAAGAUUUAUCGCCUUUAGAGCGGCCCGCGUCUGAUUAGCUAGUUGGUGAGGUAAAGGCUCACCAAGGCGACGAUCAGUAGCUGGUCUGAGAGGAUGAUCAGCCACAUUGGGACUGAGACACGGCCCAAACUCCUACGGGAGGCAGCAGUGGGGAAUCUUGCGCAAUGGGCGAAAGCCUGACGCAGCCAUGCCGCGUGAAUGAUGAAGGUCUUAGGAUUGUAAGAUUCUUUCACCAGGGACGAUAAUGACGGUACCCGGAGAAGAAGCCCCGGCUAACUCCGUGCCAGCCGCCGCCGUAA
RNAcentral lists this ribosomal RNA (449 nucleotides) under uncultured bacterium. Its description in RNAcentral is "partial 16S ribosomal RNA". It matches the Rfam family "Bacterial small subunit ribosomal RNA", at positions 29 to 523 of the family's 1533-position model. The record is from RNAcentral.